RNAcentral lists this ribosomal RNA (465 nucleotides) under uncultured bacterium. Its description in RNAcentral is "partial 16S ribosomal RNA". It matches the Rfam family "Bacterial small subunit ribosomal RNA", at positions 338 to 795 of the family's 1533-position model. The record is from RNAcentral.
GCUACGGGAGGCAGCAGUGGGGAAUGUUGCGCAAUGGGCGUAAGAGUGACGCAGCGACGCCGCGUGAAUGAAGAAGGCCUUCGGGUCGUAAAGUUCUUUCGACAGGGAAGAAAAUGCCUAUAAGUAACUGUGUAUGUAUUGACGGUACAUGUAUAAGCAGUCCCGGCUAACUCCGUGCCAGCAGCCGCGGUAAUACGGGGGGGCCGAGAGUUGUUCGUGGUGACUGGGCGUAAAGAGAACGUAGGCGUUGUUGUAAGUCAUUAGUCAAAGACUAGAGCUCAACUUUAGUAAGGCUAGUGAUACUAGCAUACUAGAGUAUCAGAGAGGAUUGCAGAAUUCCUGGUGUAGCGGUGAAAUGCGUAGAUAUCAGGAGGAAUACCGUUAGCGAAGGCGGCAAUCUGGCUGGAAACUGACGCUGAGGUGCGAAAGCGUGGGUAGCAAACAGGAUUAGAUACCCUGGUAGUC